CAAUAGCGUAUAUUGAAGUUGUUGCAGUUAAAAAGCUCGUAGUUGGAUUUCUGGUGGGAGCGAUCGGUCUGGCGCUUAGCGCGAGUACUUGCAUCGUCUCCGGCCAUCCUUGGGGAGAGUCUGUCUGGCAUUAAGUUGUCGGGCAGAGGAUCCUCAUCGUUUACUGUGAAAAAAUUAGAGUGUUCAAAGCAGGCUUAUGCCGUUGAAUAUAUUAGCAUGGAAUAAUAAGAUAGGACUUUGGUACUAUUUUGUUGGUUUGCGCACCAAAGUAAUGAUUAAUAGGGACAGUUGGGGGUAUUCGUAUUCCGUUGUCAGAGGUGAAAUUCUUGGAUUUACGGAAGACGAACUACUGCGAAAGCAUUUACCAAGGAUGUUUUCAUUAA
This 383-nucleotide ribosomal RNA is filed under the name uncultured eukaryote. RNAcentral describes it as "partial 18S ribosomal RNA". It matches the Rfam family "Eukaryotic small subunit ribosomal RNA", at positions 592 to 976 of the family's 1831-position model. The record is from RNAcentral.